RNAcentral lists this transfer RNA (75 nucleotides) under Caudoviricetes sp. RNAcentral describes it as "tRNA-Arg". It matches the Rfam family "tRNA". From Rfam's summary of the family: Transfer RNA (tRNA) molecules are approximately 80 nucleotides in length. The record is from RNAcentral. Lineage: Duplodnaviria; Heunggongvirae; Uroviricota; Caudoviricetes.
GCCCACGUAGCUCAGAUGGAGGAGAGCGCCGCCCUCCUAAGGCGGAUACCGGCGGUUCGAGUCCGCCCGUGGGCA